UACGUAGGGGCCUAGCGUUGUCCGGAUUUAUUGGGCGUAAAGAGCGUGUAGGCGGCCAUGUAGGUCCGGUGUGAAAACUCGAGGCUUAACCUCGAGAUGUCAUCGGAAACCAUUUGGCUAGAGUCCGGAAGAGGAGAGUGGAAUUCCUGGUGUAGCGGUGAAAUGCGCAGAUAUCAGGAAGAACACCAAUGGCGAAAGCAGCUCUCUGGGACGGUACUGACGCUGAGACGCGAAAGCGUGGGGAGCGAACAGG
RNAcentral lists this ribosomal RNA (253 nucleotides) under uncultured bacterium. RNAcentral's name for it is "partial 16S ribosomal RNA". It matches the Rfam family "Bacterial small subunit ribosomal RNA", at positions 524 to 776 of the family's 1533-position model. The record is from RNAcentral.